UACGGGAGGCAGCAGUGGGGAAUAUUGCACAAUGGGCGAAAGCCUGAUGCAGCUAUGCCGCGUGUAUGAAGAAGGCCUUAGGGUUGUAAAGUACUUUCAGCAGGGAGGAAGAAAUAAAACUAAUAAUUUUAUUUUGUGACGUUACCUGAAGAAGAAGCACCGGCUAACUCCGUGCCAGCAGCCGCGGUAAUACGGAGGGUGCAAGCGUUAAUCAGAAUUACUGGGCGUAAAGAGCGCGUAGGUGGUUUUUUUAAAGUCAGAUGUGAAAUCCCCUAGGCUUAACCUAGGAACUGCAUUUUGAAACUGAAAAACUGAGUAUCGUAGAGGGAGGUAGAAUUCUAGGUGUAGCGGUGAAAUGCGUAGAUAUCUGGAGGAAUACCUGUGGCGAAAGCGGCCUCUAAACGAAUACUGACACUGAGGUGCGAAAGCGUGGGGAGCAAACAGGGAUUAGAUACC
RNAcentral lists this ribosomal RNA (456 nucleotides) under uncultured bacterium. RNAcentral's name for it is "bacterial SSU rRNA". It matches the Rfam family "Bacterial small subunit ribosomal RNA", at positions 340 to 786 of the family's 1533-position model. The record is from RNAcentral.